CCAGCAUCCCCUGGUGGCCACAAGGCCAUGGGGGAGUCAGCACAACCUGCAGAGAUCCCCUGGUUCAGGGUGGGUGGAAACAGGGGGUUCGGGGGCUGAACAGUUAGAGGCUGGCCAGGAGCUAGGGAACUGGAUAGGUAUGAAGGGUUUGAAGCUUACCUGUCGGAAGGUUCUGGGGUGGAGGAGUCUGUGGAGGGAGCUUCAGAGAGCAGGAGGGGCAUUAGAAGGCUGGGGCCCCUGCAAUCUAAUCUUUGUUGUGUAAUGCGUUUCCCGCCCUAUCCCAGCCUAGCUUCUGCCUGGUGAUCUCAGACCCCUGCAGGGCAGCUCCCCACUCACCCCUGCACCAUCCUCGCUGUCACAGUGCCUGAUGCCCCAAAACUGGAAGUGUGCCUGCCAUUGCCUUUCCCUGCCUGGUUUCCAGCAGUCCCAUCACAUGGCUCCAAAAAACAGCAUCGGGGUUUUUUUCUAGAACCCAAAUUUAUAAACAAGGGGCAAUGUCCUCUGACAAGGAAAUGGACCUUGGCAAACGUGUGUCAGGAGAGGAUGACUUGGAGGUGUCCACCGUGUUUCUUACUGAAGAUGUCUAAAAGUCAAUUGGGGUCAAGGAACAAGCCUCUACUCACAUGCAUGUGGGCAAAUGAAGUCACAGAACAAAUAACCUACCCUGCAUCCAGGCACGGAGUCCAGGGACACCCCCUGCUGCUGCCUAAGAGAAAGUGGCCCAAGAAGCACUGGCCCGGUGCCUGCUGAUGCCAGGAGCCCUCUGCUACUGCCUGACACAAGCAUCCUGCGCUUCCCCCUCCCAGGCCCUCCCCGAAAGCGUGGGCCACAGGUACCACUCCCUAUGCCACUGAGCCCCACAUUUCCCAUCCCCCAAGCCACUCCCACCAGCCCCAGAGCUUUCCUACAUUUAUGAUUUGUCCAAAAAUGUGAUGCCCUUCAGCCCCCAGAAGGUCAUCCUCCAGGCUGUGAUCGUCACACAGGGGGUCCCACAUGGGGUCCUCACAGGCCUUCAACCCAGCACAAAUCGUGGCCUGGUUUGACCUUUGAAAUAUCUCAACAUCUAAAAUUCAGAGCUUUUUUGGAAUAUUUAUUUUCCAUAGAUAUAAUUCUUUCAAAUAAAUUCCUUAGAAAACAAUAUCCAGUGUUUCAUUAUUUGUGCUAACAUGUGCUUUUCCCAUUUUGGAGAUGAAAAAUAUCAUUAGAAAUAAAAACUCAAGGGACAGAUUAAAC
This 1233-nucleotide long non-coding RNA is filed under the name Homo sapiens (human). RNAcentral's name for it is "HSALNT0053759". Lineage: Eukaryota; Metazoa; Chordata; Mammalia; Primates; Hominidae. The record is from RNAcentral.